Molecule: long non-coding RNA, 647 nt
Organism: Asparagus officinalis (garden asparagus)
Lineage: Eukaryota; Viridiplantae; Streptophyta; Magnoliopsida; Asparagales; Asparagaceae
Exons: 2
Source: RefSeq, a predicted model, not a curated record
CCAUCGAGAACGUGAGGUCCAUCUUGAGAUCUUUGUGCAAGUCUGUGCUUCAAUAUGCCUUCUUUUGUUAGGAAACUAUAAUUUCACCAAACCCUCCAAGAAGUUUGGCCCACUCUGUUAAUACACACAAAAAAAAAGGAAAUGUCACUUACCCCAAAAAUGAGAUAAAUGCAAAAAUUUGGUGAUCAAGUAUCAUUUCCCAGCAUUUUUUGGGGUUAUCUCCAAAUGGGGCAAACUUUGAGGGUUUUGUUAAUUUACCCCUAGAAAAAGUAUGCCAUUUCCUCAAAAGGUUUCAAUAUCUGCUUUUUUAAAGUAACAAUAUAUGACAAUACAGGAGUUGCAUUCUACCAGAGGGGUACUUGCUGGAGAAAGAGCAAGAGCAUUUCAGCUUCAGGUUGAAGUAUUCCAUCUGAAGCAAAGAUUCCAAUCCUUGGAGAAUAGGGCACCGACCCCUAGGAAACCCUACCACAUGUAAAUAGUUUAAUGCUCUGUUGAGAUGAUACAUUGUUUGUGUAUAUAAGAUACUAUCUGAUUUGAGUAUUUAGCAAUGUAAGUGUAACGUGAUCAAUUUGUAUAAUGUAACUUUAGCUAUUCUGUUUUAUGGUUCUCAUCAACAAUUUUAUCACAUUUUCUUCACUUUAAUAGGA